CAGGAAAUAGUUUAAUAAAAAUAUUAGUUUUGGAGAUUAAUGAUAGGAAUAAUUCUUUUUCCUGA
RNAcentral lists this transfer RNA (65 nucleotides) under unidentified. RNAcentral describes it as "Cryptocephalus dimidiatipennis tRNA-Pro". The record is from RNAcentral.